CACGUAGGGCGCAAGCGUUGUCCGGAAUUAUUGGGCGUAAAGAGCUCGUAGGCGGUCUGUUACGUCUGCUGUGAAAACCCUGGGCUUAACCCUGGGCUUGCAGUGGAUACGGGCAGACUAGAGGCAGGUAGGGGAGGAUGGAAUUCCCGGUGUAGCGGUGAAAUGCGCAGAUAUCGGGAGGAACACCAAUGGCGAAGGCAGCUCGCUGGGACGGUACUGACGCUGAGGCGCGAAAGCGUGGGGAGCAAACGGG
This 253-nucleotide ribosomal RNA is filed under the name uncultured bacterium. RNAcentral describes it as "partial 16S ribosomal RNA". It matches the Rfam family "Bacterial small subunit ribosomal RNA", at positions 524 to 776 of the family's 1533-position model. The record is from RNAcentral.